GAUGAACGCUGGCGGCGUGCCUAAUACAUGCAAGUCGAGCGAACAGACGAGGAGCUUGCUCCUCUGACGUUAGCGGCGGACGGGUGAGUAACACGUGGAUAACCUACCUAUAAGACUGGGAUAACUUCGGAAACCGGAGCUAAUACCGGAUAAUAUAUUGAACCGCAUGGUUCAAUAGUGAAAGACGGUUUUGCUGUCACUUAUAGAUGGAUCCGCGCCGCAUUAGCUAGUUGGUAAGGUAACGGCUUACCAAGGCGACGAUGCGUAGCCGACCUGAGAGGGUGAUCGGCCACACUGGAACUGAGACACGGUCCAGACUCCUACGGGAGGCAGCAGUAGGGAAUCUUCCGCAAUGGGCGAAAGCCUGACGGAGCAACGCCGCGUGAGUGAUGAAGGUCUUCGGAUCGUAAAACUCUGUUAUUAGGGAAGAACAAAUGUGUAAGUAACUAUGCACGUCUUGACGGUACCUAAUCAGAAAGCCACGGCUAACUACGUG
This 496-nucleotide ribosomal RNA is filed under the name uncultured bacterium. Its description in RNAcentral is "partial 16S ribosomal RNA". It matches the Rfam family "Bacterial small subunit ribosomal RNA", at positions 28 to 507 of the family's 1533-position model. The record is from RNAcentral.